UUAUCUGAACCUUCGGGGAACGAUAACGGCGUCNAGCGGCGGACGGGUGAGUAAUGCCUAGGAAAUUGCCCUGAUGUGGGGGAUAACCAUUGGAAACGAUGGCUAAUACCGCAUAAUGCCUACGGGCCAAAGAGGGGGACCUUCGGGCCUCUCGCGUCAGGAUAUGCCUAGGUGGGAUUAGCUAGUUGGUGAGGUAAUGGCUCACCAAGGCGACNAUCCCUAGCUGGUCUGAGAGGAUGAUCAGCCACACUGGAACUGAGACACGGUCCAGACUCCUACGGGAGGCAGCAGUGGGGAAUAUUGCACAAUGGGCGCAAGCCUGAUGCAGCCNUGCCGCGUGUGUGAAGAAGGCCUUCGGGUUGUAAAGCACUUUCAGUCGUGAGGAAGGUGGUGUAGUUAAUAGCUGCAUUAUUUGACGUUAGCGACAGAANAAGCACCGGCUAACUCCGUGCCAGCAGCCGCGGUAAUACGGAGGGUGCGAGCGUUAAUCGGAAUUACUGGGCGUAAAGCGCAUGCAGGUGGUUUGUUAAGUCANAUGUGAAAGCCCGGGGCUCAACCUCGGAAUAGCAUUUGAAACUGGC
Molecule: ribosomal RNA, 581 nt
Filed under: bacterium Ss62
Lineage: Bacteria
Description: bacterial SSU rRNA
Rfam family: Bacterial small subunit ribosomal RNA
Source: RNAcentral